This 1193-nucleotide long non-coding RNA is filed under the name Chrysolophus pictus (golden pheasant). RNAcentral's name for it is "lncRNA (ENSCPIG00010005653.1)". The record is from RNAcentral. Lineage: Eukaryota; Metazoa; Chordata; Aves; Galliformes; Phasianidae.
AAAGAAAUCUGGAAGACUGAGAAAGCAGAAACCCUCAGCUAAAUUUGAAGAGUCCCACAAGGACAUAAGAAGGCCAAGGUCCAGGUUGGCAGCUGUAUUUGAAUCACAUCAGACCUCCAGCUGUGGAACUUGCAGGUGCUUCUGUGGUUCUCAUCAGCCCCUUUCAAGGUGUAAGGGAAACCAUCUGGGUCCUCUGUGAUCUGCUCCCUGGGAUACAGAUAGCAGGACAAAGCAGUCAUUCUUUUUUUCUCCCAUGAGGAAUUCUGAUGCUUCUCAAACUGAGGUAUUUUUAGAAAUCUCCAUCAUCUUUCUGCACAGACAUUUUCUUGCCUAGGAGGGCUGCACACCUACCUCAUGUAAUGCUGCUGCUGGGAGCCGAGAGCCUGGAAAAAAAUGUCCAGUGACCACUGGUAAGAGAAGCUGUGAUUAUGUAAGAUAGGUAGGUUGCUCCAAAAGUAAUACCUCCUAUUUAUUUCCAUGGAAAUUAUAACUGAUACAAAAAGCACAAUCUCACUAUUUCACAGGGCAAUUUCUCAUCUAUAAAAUGCUGUUUUUCAGCACAGUCACCACUGCCAGCUAUGCAUUUUCACCAGCGAUGAACAAGAGCCUGCAUGCCACACUUGAAAAAAAUCUGUACCAGUAGAACUGAGCCACUGUCACCACUGCUGAACUGCACCACCCUCCACCUCACUGUGCUCACAUCCGCUGUUUGGUCUGCAUACACUUUCAGCAAGAGUCCAUGAAUGUCAGUGGGUGCCAUUUUUUCUGCAUGGAGGAAUUUAAUGUCACACCUUUGCUUCACACGCACUUCUACAUUGGAUGCCAUUUUGUCAGACUGACCUUCUGUCACGCAGGAACAAAAUAUGACGGGGAAUGUGUGGGAAGGUUCAGCCUCUACUGCCAUACCAGCAACAUCUGACACUGUGGGCCAAAAGAAUAACAUAGGUGGCAUUACUUCAGAGCAGCCCUUGUACACAUGUGCUGAGGCUGUCCUACUGUACCAGUCUCAGCCGACAGCUUACAUCAGCACCAUGUCCCUCUGUUCUGACAAUCUUUACCAGGGAAACAAGACUUCUAACCACAUCCAGCCAGAAGCUGGGUCCAAGGCCUGGAGUUUUUUCCUUAGACAUUUACUGACUUUAACUGGGGACUCAGGUGAUUAUUGUAUAACUCUCUGCAGCUCUUCUCAGUGA